GGCGAGGUAGCUCAGUCGGUAAGAGCGCAGGAUUCAUAACCCUGAGGUCGAGGGUUCAACUCCCUCCCUCGCUA
RNAcentral lists this transfer RNA (74 nucleotides) under Chitinophagales bacterium. RNAcentral describes it as "tRNA-Met". It matches the Rfam family "tRNA". From Rfam's summary of the family: Transfer RNA (tRNA) molecules are approximately 80 nucleotides in length. Their secondary structure includes four short double-helical elements and three loops (D, anti-codon, and T loops). Lineage: Bacteria; Pseudomonadati; Bacteroidota; Chitinophagia; Chitinophagales. The record is from RNAcentral.